This 513-nucleotide ribosomal RNA is filed under the name uncultured bacterium. RNAcentral's name for it is "partial 16S ribosomal RNA". It matches the Rfam family "Bacterial small subunit ribosomal RNA", at positions 28 to 507 of the family's 1533-position model. The record is from RNAcentral.
GACGAACGCUGGCGGCGUGCUUAACACAUGCGAGUCGAACGAGAGCGUAGAGAAAGCUUGCUUUUUCUACAAUCUAGUGGCAAACGGGUGAGUAACGCGUAAACAACCUGCCCUACGGAUGGGGACAACAGCUGGAAACGGCUGCUAAUACCGAAUACGUUCCGAAAGUCGCAUGACUAUCGGAAGAAAGGAUGGCCUCUAUUUAUAAGCUAUCGCCGGAGGAGGGGUUUGCGUCUGAUUAGCUAGUUGGAGGGGUAACGGCCCACCAAGGCGACGAUCAGGAGCCGGUCUGAAAGGAAGAACGGGCACAUUGGAACUGGGACACGGUCCAGACUCCUACGGGAGGCAGCAGUGGGGAAACUUCCGCAAUGGGCGAAAGCCUGACGGAGCAACGCCGCGGGAGUGAAGACGGCCUUCGGGUUGUAAAGCUCUGUUAUACGGGACGAAUAAUCUUGUGGUUAAUACCCAUGAGAAGUGACGGUACCGUAAGAGAAAGCCACGGCUAACUACGUG